CUUUGAUCAAAGAUUUAUCGACAUGGGAGCGGCCUAUUUCCUAUCAGCUUGUUGGUGAGGUAACGGCUCACCAAGGCUACGACGGGUAGCGGGACUGAGAGGUUGGCCCGCCACAUCGGGACUGAGACACUGCCCGGACCUCCUCGGAGGGCUGCAGUAACGAGUAUUGGGCAAUGGGCGAAAGCCUGACCCAGCAAUGCCGCGUGUAGGAUGAAGCCCCUCGGGGUGUAAACUAUUGUCAGGGAUUAGAAAGCUACGGUUGAUCAAUCCCAAAGGAAGUCACGGCUAACUUCGUGCCAGCAGCCGCGGUAAUACGAAGGUGGCAAGCGUUAUUCGAAAUCACUGGGCUUAAAGGGCGCGUAGGCGGACAUACAAGUGUCUUGUGAAAUCCCCCGGCUUAACCGGGGAAUUGCUCGGCAAACUGUAUGUCUUGAGUCAAGUAGGGGUGUGUGGAACUCUUGGUGGAGCGGUGGAAUGCGUAGAUAUCAAGAGGAACGCCGAAGGUGAAGACAGCACACUAGGCUUGUACUGACGCUGAGGCACGAAAGCGUGGGGAGCAAACAGGAUUAGAUACCCUGGUAGUCCACGCCGUAAACGAUGUCUACUAGGUUGCGGGGGUUCUGACACCGUCGCAGUCGAAGCAAAAGUGUUAAGUAGACCGCCUGGGGAGUACGAUCGCAAGGCUAAAACUCAAAGGAAUUGACGGGGGCUCACACAAGCGGUGGAGCAUGUGGAUUAAUUCGAAUCAACGCGCAGAACCUUACCUGGGUUUGACAUGUUUGGAUGCCUAUCUGGAAACAGAGUCGGUUGCCCUUCGGGGUGAAACUUACACAGGUGCUGCAUGGCUGUCGUCAGCUCGUGUCGUGAGAUUCGGGUUAAGUCCUUUAACGAGCGAAACCCUUACCGUUAGUUGCCAGCGCGUCAUGGCGGGGACUCUAGCGGGACUGCCGGUGUUAAACCGGAGGAAGGCGGGGAUGACGUCAAGUCCUCAUGGCCUUUAUGCCCAGGGCUUCACACGUGCUACAAUGGUGACUACAAAGCGACGCGAUACCGCGAGGUGGAGCAAAUCGCAAAAAAGUCGCCCCAGUUCAGAUUGCAGGCUGGCAACUCGCCUGCAUGAAGUUGGAAUCGCUAGUAAUCGCAUAUCAGCGAUGAUGCGGUGAAUGUGUUCCUGAGCCUUGUACACACCGCCCGUCAAGUGAUGGGAGUUGGGAGUACCCGAAGUCGGAUUGCUAACUUUUUAAGAAGCGUCUGCCGACGGUAAGCUCGAUGACUGGCACUAAGUCGUAACAAGGUA
RNAcentral lists this ribosomal RNA (1297 nucleotides) under metagenome. RNAcentral's name for it is "bacterial SSU rRNA". It matches the Rfam family "Bacterial small subunit ribosomal RNA", at positions 195 to 1498 of the family's 1533-position model. The record is from RNAcentral.